RNAcentral lists this ribosomal RNA (463 nucleotides) under uncultured bacterium. RNAcentral's name for it is "bacterial SSU rRNA". It matches the Rfam family "Bacterial small subunit ribosomal RNA", at positions 17 to 475 of the family's 1533-position model. The record is from RNAcentral.
UCAUGGCUCAGAUUGAACGCUGGCGGCAUGCUUUACACAUGCAAGUUGAACGGCAGCGGGGGCUUCGGCCUGCCGGCGAGUGGCGAACGGGUGAGUAACGCAUCGGAACGUGCCCAUGUCGUGGGGGAUAACGUAGCGAAAGCUACGCUAAUACCGCAUACGUCCUGAGGGAGAAAGCGGGGGAUUCUUCGGAACCUCGCGCGAUUGGAGCGGCCGAUGUCGGAUUAGCUAGUAGGUGAGGUAAAGGCUCACCUAGGCGACGAUCCGUAGCGGGUCUGAGAGGAUGAUCCGCCACACUGGGACUGAGACACGGCCCAGACUCCUACGGGAGGCAGCAGUGGGGAAUUUUGGACAAUGGGCGCAAGCCUGAUCCAGCCAUGCCGCGUGAGUGAAGAAGGCCUUCGGGUUGUAAAGCUCUUUCGGCCGGGAAGAAAUCGUGUUCUCUAACAUAGGACAUGGAUGA